AGGACGAACGCUGGCGGCGUGCCUAAUACAUGCAAGUAGAACGCUGAAGGAGGAGCUUGCUCUUCUGGAUGAGUUGCGAACGGGUGAGUAACGCGUAGGUAACCUGCCUGGUAGCGGGGGAUAACUAUUGGAAACGAUAGCUAAUACCGCAUAAGAGUAGAUGUUGCAUGACAUUUGCUUAAAAGGUGCAAUUGCAUCACUACCAGAUGGACCUGCGUUGUAUUAGCUAGUUGGUGAGGUAACGGCUCACCAAGGCGACGAUACAUAGCCGACCUGAGAGGGUGAUCGGCCACACUGGGACUGAGACACGGCCCAGACUCCUACGGGAGGCAGCAGUAGGGAAUCUUCGGCAACGGACGGAAGUCUGACCGAGCAACGCCGCGUGAGUGAAGAAGGUUUCGGAUCGUAAAGCUCGUGUUGUAAGAGUAAGAACGAGUGUAGAGAGUGGAAAGUUCACACUGUGACGGUAUCUUACCAGUAAAGGACGACUAACUACG
Molecule: ribosomal RNA, 497 nt
Filed under: uncultured soil bacterium
Lineage: Bacteria
Description: bacterial SSU rRNA
Rfam family: Bacterial small subunit ribosomal RNA
Source: RNAcentral